UACCUUGCAUGUGCAGGCAGUGUCCCUCACUACUCUCUCGUUCUAGGCUUUGCCGUUGGCGUGCAGCAGCUACACCCGACGUUGGUCCAGCGGACUUAUGGGCUGACCCCUCACUACAUCUACCCGCAAGCCAUCGUGCAGCCCAGUGUGGUGAUCCCGGCCACGCCCGUCCCAUCGCUGUCCUCGCCCUACAUCGAGUACACGCCUGCCAGCCCGGCCUAUGCCCAGUACCCACCAGCCACCUACGACCAGUACCCAUAUGCCGCCUCGCCUGCCACAGCCGCCAGCUUUGUGGGCUACAGCUACCCAGCCGCCAUGCCACAGGCCCUGUCAGCCACGGCCCCCGCGGGGGCCGCUUUUGUGCAGUACCAAGCACCGCAGCUGCAGCCUGACAGGAUGCAGUGAGGGCCGUCCCCGCUGCAGGGACUGCGGUGACGUUGCCCACCCAGCAGACACAUUUGGGCCAGUGGCCGGCCGAGCUCUUGGCUCCACCAGCACCUGUGCCUCCAAGACCCCCUGGCACGUCCAGGCGGCGUCUCUUCAGGUCUAGGUCCCAUCGUGCCUUGAGGGGGACUUCAGGACGGAGUGACCAAGUAGCUGUCUGAAGAGGCGAGUGCAGGCCCCUCGCCCCUGGCCCACCCCCAGGCCUGGCUGCCCCCCACACUCCCGGUGCCGCGGGCCACGCUGACACCCUUUCCACCGAGGUGCCUUCUCAGGGAGACCUGGCAGGGAGAACCCAGGACUGUGGCCGGCUGCUGUGUGGGGACCGCCCUCCUCCUCCUCGAAGCCGCUUCCUGAGCGGGCCACCAGGUCCCCCCAGGUGCCAGUGAUGUCCUUUUCAGUGGACGCACUGCGCCUUUUCCUGUUCUUUGUUUGCUACUGAGCGAUUCCAGAAUUUCAAGUCUAUUUUUUCAACAGACACUGAUGCCACCAAGAACCCAGAACCUAACUUUGACUGAGAGACUUGUUUUUGUUGAUGGCUCCACCUAGAGAUGAUGACAGUAUUUCUGUGAUACAAUGUCUGCCGCCGGUUGAUCUGGCCCUUGGAAGGCAGGCAUCAUGGGACGAGAGGGCCCUCCUGGGCAACUGUUCACUGCCUGCUGGGCUGGUGAAGUGUGUUUGGCCACCAUGGUGAGUUCUCAGGUGUCUGUCACCACAUUGUUGCUGCGUGUCUCCCUGGGCCCUGCUCCUCCCACCUGGGAGUGCGCGCCAGCUGCUGUGGGACAGGACAGUGGCAGCCCAGCCCUCUGAGGCCCCUGCAAGGCUCUGAGUGCAGGUUCUGCGCCCACUCUCCUGUCGUCACCUGCUGCACGCAGCCCGGAACGCACCCUUCCUGCUGCUAAGAGGCGCAGUGGGGGCUUCUGGUUCGCUGUGCCAACUCCUGUGGGGCCCGGGACUAGAGGAUGAGGGGCUCCCAGCACAGAGGGGGCCCCCAGCAGGCGGGCAGCUGGGCUGUGCCUUUGCCCUACCUCAGGGAGCCGAGUGGCCGGUGUCCCAUGGCACGCCUGGAGUAGAGAAAGCCCGGAGGUGAAGGUAGCUAAUGUUAUGGUAUUUUUAUUAGAAUGUUCUGAUUAUAAAAAUAAAACUUGUUCUCUGUAAGGAGAGU
This 1606-nucleotide long non-coding RNA is filed under the name Ictidomys tridecemlineatus (thirteen-lined ground squirrel). RNAcentral's name for it is "lncRNA (ENSSTOG00000026159.2)". The record is from RNAcentral. Lineage: Eukaryota; Metazoa; Chordata; Mammalia; Rodentia; Sciuridae.